This 497-nucleotide ribosomal RNA is filed under the name uncultured bacterium. RNAcentral describes it as "partial 16S ribosomal RNA". It matches the Rfam family "Bacterial small subunit ribosomal RNA", at positions 28 to 507 of the family's 1533-position model. The record is from RNAcentral.
GAUGAACGCUGGCGGCGUGCCUAAUACAUGCAAGUCGAGCGAACGGACGAGAAGCUUGCUUCUCUGAUGUUAGCGGCGGACGGGUGAGUAACACGUGGAUAACCUACCUAUAAGACUGGGAUAACUUCGGGAAACCGUAGCUAAUACCGGAUAAUAUUUUGAACCGCAUGGUUCAAAAGUGAAAGACGGUCUUGCUGUCACUUAUAGAUGGAUCCGCGCUGCAUUAGCUAGUUGGUAAGGUAACGGCUUACCAAGGCAACGAUGCAUAGCCGACCUGAGAGGGUGAUCGGCCACACUGGAACUGAGACACGGUCCAGACUCCUACGGUAGGCAGCAGUAGGGAAUCUUACGCAAUGGGCGAAAGCCUGACGGAGCAACGCCGCGUGAGUGAUGAAGGUCUUCGGAUCGUAAAACUCUGUUAUUAGGGAAGAACAUAUGUGUAAGUAACUGUGCACAUCUUGACGGUACCUAAUCAGAAAGCCACGGCUAACUACGUG